UUCCGCUGUGUUGCCAAAUUUUUAAGCAGUAUCGAAACGCGGCAGAUUUAAAAACAUGUCAAAAUAUGUUGUUUUACUUUACAGGUUCUAAAAGUGAAUCAAAUCUAUUUUUUCUAAUUUGAUAGUUGCUUGUAUAAUAUAAUAUAUUCCAGUUAGUUAUCCAGUAGAUAAGCUUUAAAACUCCUAACCUAACAUAAUUAGAUUCAAAUAUGAUUUUAUCGUUUUUAUUUCCAUUUUGGAAGAGGGAAUGAAGAAAAUUUACAGAUAUGACAAACAUCUAGCUAGAAGAUGGAAUCCUGCGUUCUUAAAAUAAAAAAAGCUAGUUCCAGAAGUAAGCUACCAAUAAUAAACUAGAGAAUGUAUUACAAGAAAGAACAACGCUAAUACUCAACAUAGCUCAAUUGCUUCAGAUAGAAAAAGAGGAGGAAAGGGUACAACACAAGCGUGCCAGAGAAAAUGAAAGGGCAGAAGAGAGACACAAAAUUCAUUGAUUUAUUAAAUUUACAAAUUAAAUUAUAC
Diabrotica virgifera virgifera (western corn rootworm) is the source of this 519-nucleotide long non-coding RNA. RefSeq lists it as uncharacterized. NCBI's taxonomy places the organism in Eukaryota, Metazoa, Arthropoda, Insecta, Coleoptera, Chrysomelidae. The record is from RefSeq and is a predicted model, not a curated record. The transcript is spliced from 3 exons.